Ictalurus punctatus (channel catfish) is the source of this 952-nucleotide long non-coding RNA. Lineage: Eukaryota; Metazoa; Chordata; Actinopteri; Siluriformes; Ictaluridae. The record is from Ensembl.
GGAAGUCACUUGAAGAAGUUGGUGGGUAAAUAAGAAGCAGAGAGAAAGCUGCAAAGCUAAUAGAGUGAUGGUUUCAACUACCUUUUUUUUCCAUACUGCAAAGGAGACCUCUUGAUCCAUUCUUGAUCUCUCUGGAGACUUUUCGUCCUUCUUUGUUUUUUUAUAAAACUUCCCCUAUAUAGGUGAGGAACGUGAGGUCUAAUGUAGUCGUUAUGGUUAGAUGUAACGAGGAAUCCGAUGUAUUGUACAUGUGCAGCGCAGAUGUGCUUGUAUAAACAGAGACUGAGGCGACACUGGACGUUCAGUUGUGAAAAACUUUCCCUCACCCUGUUACCUGAACACAUGUUCAGGAAGGAACAUUAUCUGAAUUUCCUGAGGACCAUGGGAAGAAGAAAAAUACGUUUCCUCAUUAUGCGUGAUAUUGUGACAUUGACUGACAAAGCCACUUUGAACAUCCUGUUACUCAAAUUAUUGUAAAAAAUAUGUUAAGUAAAUCAUUAACAUGUUUUAAAAUCCUCAUGUGUGUUAGCAGGGUGAAGUGCUCUGACAGAAACACACGUGUAAGAUGAUGUUCCUCCCGCCAGGCUGGAUACCACAGAUUUGAGCAGCCUCUCAGAAUUCACACUACAGAUAUUUCCAUUACUUAUACUGCACAAGCUUGGAUCCAUUUUUUAAAUCUAAAUAUUGCACUCCUUCUCUCACAUUGUUUUUUUCCCCCUUCUUUCUGGAAGAGUGAUUAAAGCGCUUGCCUACAGAGCACAUUGUUUGAGGUAAGAAGCCUCAUGAAGUUUAAGCUAGAUCAUUCUUCCGGAUGAUCACAGUGUAGACGAAUCAUUUUUCCAGGCAGUUCUAUAUUUGACUGAACUAUCCUACUGAACUGAGUCAAUGGGAAGUUGCGUAAGACACAACCUGAUUCAUCGACAUGCCAUCACUAUGUUGGUUUAGAAGUGCC